GAUGAACGCUGGCGGCGUGCCUAAUACAUGCCAGUCGAGCGAACAGACGAGGAGCUUGCUCCUCUGACGUUAGCGGCGGACGGGUGAGUAACACGUGGAUAACCUACCUAUAAGACUGGGAUAACUUCGGGAAACCGGAGCUAAUACCGGAUAAUAUAUUGAACCGCAUGGUUCAAUGGUGAAAGACGGUUUUGCUGUCACUUAUAGAUGGAUCCGCGCCGCAUUAGCUAGUUGGUAAGGUAACGGCUUACCAAGGCAACGAUGCGUAGCCGACCUGAGAGGGUGAUAGGCCACACUGGAACUGAGACACGGUCCAGACUCCUACGGGAGGCAGCAGUAGGGAAUCUUCCGCAAUGGGCGAAAGCCUGACGGAGCAACGCCGCGUGAGUGAUGAAGGUCUUCGGAUCGUAAAACUCUGCUAUUAGGGAAGAACAAAUGUGUAAGUAACUAUGCACGUCUUGACGGUACCUAAUCAGAAAGCCACGGCUAACUACGUG
This 497-nucleotide ribosomal RNA is filed under the name uncultured bacterium. RNAcentral describes it as "partial 16S ribosomal RNA". It matches the Rfam family "Bacterial small subunit ribosomal RNA", at positions 28 to 507 of the family's 1533-position model. The record is from RNAcentral.